GGUAGAAUAGCUCAGUUGGAUACCUUGGCUUAGAGCAUCUCACAUGACAUGAGAAGGCGGUAGGUUCGAUUCCUGCUUUCCAACA
This is a non-coding RNA of Favolaschia claudopus, 85 nucleotides long. NCBI's taxonomy places the organism in Eukaryota, Fungi, Basidiomycota, Agaricomycetes, Agaricales, Mycenaceae. The record is from the annotation of a GenBank genome assembly.